RNAcentral lists this ribosomal RNA (497 nucleotides) under uncultured bacterium. RNAcentral describes it as "partial 16S ribosomal RNA". It matches the Rfam family "Bacterial small subunit ribosomal RNA", at positions 28 to 507 of the family's 1533-position model. The record is from RNAcentral.
GAUGAACGCUGGCGGCGUGCCUAAUACAUGCAAGUCGAGCGAACAGACGAGGAGCCUGCUCCUCUGACGUUAGCGGCGGACGGGUGAGUAACACGUGGAUAACCUACCUAUAAGACUGGGAUAACUUCGGGAAGCCGGAGCUAAUACCGGAUAAUAUAUUGAACCGCAUGGUUCAAUAGUGAAAGACGGUUUUGCUGUCACUUAUAGAUGGAUCCGCGCCGCAUUAGCUAGUUGGUAAGGUAACGGCUUACCAAGGCAACGAUGCGUAGCCGACCUGAGAGGGUGAUCGGCCACACUGGAACUGAGACACGGUCCAGACUCCUACGGGAGGCAGCAGUAGGGAAUCUUCCGCAAUGGGCGAAAGCUUGACGGAGCAACGCCGCGUGAGUGAUGAAGGUCUUCGGAUCGUAAAACUCUGUUAUUAGGGAAGAACAAAUGUGUAAGUAACUAUGCACGUCUUGACGGUACCUAAUCAGAAAGCCACGGCUAACUACGUG